GACGAACGCUGGCGGCGUGCUUAACACAUGCAAGUCGAACGGAAAGGCCCUGCUUUUGUGGGGUGCUCGAGUGGCGAACGGGUGAGUAACACGUGAGUAACCUGCCCUUGACUUUGGGAUAACUUCAGGAAACAGGGGCUAAUACCGGAUAGGAGCUACUGCUGCAUGGUGGGGGUUGGAAAGAUUCGGCGGUUGGGGAUGGACUCGCGGCUUAUCAGCUUGUUGGGGGGGUAGUGGCUUACCAAGGCUUUGACGGGUAGCCGGCCUGAGAGGGUUACCGGCGACAUUGGGACUGAGAUACGGCCCAGACUCCUACGGGAGGCAGCAGGGGGGAAUAUUGCACAAUGGGCGGAAGCCUGAUGCAGCAACGCCGCGUGCGGGAUGACGGCCUUCGGGUUGUAAACCGCUUUCGCCUGUGACGAAGCGUGAGUGACGGUAAUGGGUAAAGAAGCACCGGCUAACUACGUG
This 468-nucleotide ribosomal RNA is filed under the name uncultured bacterium. Its description in RNAcentral is "partial 16S ribosomal RNA". It matches the Rfam family "Bacterial small subunit ribosomal RNA", at positions 28 to 507 of the family's 1533-position model. The record is from RNAcentral.